This 449-nucleotide ribosomal RNA is filed under the name uncultured bacterium. RNAcentral's name for it is "partial 16S ribosomal RNA". It matches the Rfam family "Bacterial small subunit ribosomal RNA", at positions 354 to 796 of the family's 1533-position model. The record is from RNAcentral.
GUGGGGAAUCUUCCGCAAUGGACGAAAGUCUGACGGAGCAACGCCGCGUGAGUGAAGAAGGUUUUCGGAUCGUAAAGCUCUUUCGUUAGGGACGAACGUGCUCUUUGUGAAUAAUGAGGAGUAAUGACGGUACCUAAAUAAGAAGCCACGGCUAACUACGUGCCAGCAGCCGCGGUAAUACGUAGGUGGCAAGCGUUGUCCGGAAUUAUUGGGCGUAAAGCGCGCGCAGGCGGGAUAUCAAGUCUGUCUUAAAAGUGCGAGGCUCAACCUCGUGAGGGGACAGAAACUGGUAUUCUUGAGUGUCGGAGAGGAAAGUGGAAGUCCAAGUGUAGCGGUGAAAUGCGUAGAGAUUUGGAAGAACACCAGUGGCGAAGGCGACUUUCUGGACGAUGUCUGACGCUGAGGCGCGAAAGCUAGGGGAGCGAACGGGAUUAGAAACCCCUGAGUCC